CACGUAUUUAGCCGGUGCUUCUUCUUUGGGUACCGUCCUUUUUCUUCCCCACUGAUAGGGCUUUACACGCCGAAGCGCUUCUUCACCCACGCGGUGUCGCUGCAUCAGGGUUUCCCCCAUUGUGCAAUAUCCCCCACUGCUGCCUCCCGUAGGAGUUUGGGCCGUGUCUCAGUCCCAAUGUGGCCGUCCACCCUCUCAGGCCGGCUACCGAUCGUCGCCUUGGUAUGCCGUUACCAUACCAACUAGCUAAUCGGACGCAGGGCCAUCCCUUACCACCUUAGUUUUUCACUCUGCCUCAUGCGAGGCUGGGCGCUUAUGCGGUAUUAGCAGUUGUUUCCAUCUGUUAUCCCCCUGUAAGGGCCAGGUUCCCUACGCGUUACUCACCCGUCCGCCACUCAGUCAUUGUGUUUUCCCUCCGUAAAGUUCCUUCACAAUCCUUCGUUCGACUUGCAUGUGUUAGGCGCACCGCCAGCGUUCAUCCUGAGCCAGGAUCAAACUCU
This 500-nucleotide ribosomal RNA is filed under the name uncultured Eubacteriales bacterium. RNAcentral describes it as "uncultured Clostridiales bacterium partial 16S ribosomal RNA". Lineage: Bacteria; Bacillati; Bacillota; Clostridia; Eubacteriales. The record is from RNAcentral.